This 460-nucleotide ribosomal RNA is filed under the name uncultured bacterium. Its description in RNAcentral is "partial 16S ribosomal RNA". It matches the Rfam family "Bacterial small subunit ribosomal RNA", at positions 338 to 795 of the family's 1533-position model. The record is from RNAcentral.
CCUACGGGAGGCAGCAGUGAGGAAUAUUGGUCAAUGGACGCAAGUCUGAACCAGCCAUGCCGCGUGCAGGAAGACGGCUCUAUGAGUUGUAAACUGCUUUUGUACGAGGGUAAACGCAGAUACGUGUAUCUGUCUGAAAGUAUCGUACGAAUAAGGAUCGGCUAACUCAGUGCCAGCAGCCGCGGUAAUACGGAGGAUUCAAGCGUUAUCCGGAUUUAUUGGGUUUAAAGGGUGCGUAGGCGGUCGGAUAAGUUAGAGGUGAAAUCCCGAGGCUCAACCUCGGAAUUGCCUCUGAUACUGUUCGGCUAGAGGGUAGUAGAGGUAGGCGGAAUGUAUGGUGUAGCAGUGAAAUGCUUAGAGAUCAUGCAGAACACCGAUUGCGAAGGCAGCUUACCAAGCUACUUCUGACGUUGAGGCACGAAAGCGUGGGGAGCAAACAGGAUUAGAUACCCGAGUAGUC